This 229-nucleotide ribosomal RNA is filed under the name uncultured bacterium. Its description in RNAcentral is "partial 16S ribosomal RNA". It matches the Rfam family "Bacterial small subunit ribosomal RNA", at positions 107 to 334 of the family's 1533-position model. The record is from RNAcentral.
UGAGUAACACGUAUCCAACCUGCCGUCUACUCUUGGCCAGCCUUCUGAAAGGAAGAUUAAUCCAGGAUGGCAUCAUGAGUUCACAUGUCCGCAUGAUUAAAGGUAUUUUCCGGUAGACGAUGAGGAUGCGUUCCAUUAGAUAGUAGGCGGGGUAACGGCCCACCUAGUCAACGAUGGAUAGGGGUUCUGAGAGGAAGGUCCCCCACAUUGGAACUGAGACACGGUCCAA